GACGAACCGUGCGAACGUUGUUCGGAAUCACUGGGCUUAAAGGGCGCGUAGGUGGCCAGCCAAGUCGGGGGUGAAAUCUUUCGGCUCAACCGGAAAAUUGCCCCCGAUACUGGACGGCUCGAGGGAGAUAGAGGCGACGGGAACUACCAGUGGAGCGGUGAAAUGCGUUGAUAUUGGUAGGAACGCCAGGGCCGAAGGGGCGUCGCUGGAUCUCUUCUGACACUGAGGCGCGAAAGCCAGGGGAGCAAACGGG
Molecule: ribosomal RNA, 253 nt
Filed under: uncultured bacterium
Lineage: Bacteria
Description: partial 16S ribosomal RNA
Rfam family: Bacterial small subunit ribosomal RNA
Source: RNAcentral